Molecule: long non-coding RNA, 242 nt
Filed under: Brassica napus (rape)
Lineage: Eukaryota; Viridiplantae; Streptophyta; Magnoliopsida; Brassicales; Brassicaceae
Description: long non-coding RNA (BNAP_LNC025427)
Source: RNAcentral
UUCAAGGUCAGCUUUCUUGAACACCUCCUGAUCCAUACCCUUUCCAAUCAGUUGAUGAGACGCCAAGGCUCUACCUUCACUUUCACCCACCUUAGCGCCUGAGCUAGCUCCGGAUGAACCGGCACCAUUUACUUCAGCAGAAAGAUGAGCCUUUGCUUCCCUAUCCCUGUUGAACCCGCGUGGCCUGAGGUGAGGAUGUAAGAUCCAACACUCACUCUUCUUGUGACCGGUCCUCUUGCAAU